AUAAAAGCUUUUUAUUUUAGUCAAAUGAUUUAAAUCUAGUCUGACUUUCGACUAUCAGCAUAAAGUACAGCAAAAUUAUAGCAAUUUUCUUUUUUUGAUCUAGUAAAUAGAUAACUAUUUUGGGGCAAUUGCCACUUCCUUCAACUUUUAUGUCCCUCUAGGGCAGGGGUCUCAAUCCCUGCUCCUGGAGACCUAGUGUCCUGCAGAUUUAAGCUUCAUCCCCAGUCAAACCUGAACCAGCUAACCAAGGUGUUCUGGGUUACAUAUUACAGGCAGGUGUUUUUAGAGUGUGUUGGAACUGAUGUUUACAGGAUGGUAGCUCUCUAUUAGCAGGGUUUGAGUUCUCUACUCUAGGGCCUUACUGCAAUAUUUUGGCUUCUUGCCCUGACUUUCGAUUCAGAGGUCCAUUAGCUGCAACCCCAGCCAAAGAUAUCCUUCCUCAAAACCCCUUCUGGCAACAAUGGAAUCCCUUUUCUCAGAAGUAGCAGCUACAAGAGUCUUCUAAAUGGAUUUUGUAGCUGUGGUGGGGUUCGAAGCCUAGGGGAGCCCAGUCCUCCUCCUGGAGAGCUACUUACCUGCAGAGGUCAGUUCCUAACCUGCUCCAAAUACACCUGUAAUUAUUAAGUGUUACUAAAGAUCUUUAGUUCAGAAUAUUGGUUUGUGACUGUUGUAAAUGAGAAUAUAUGAAGAGUUCAGAUGCAAAAGCCUCUAAGUGCCAUCUAAAAUUUUCUUCUAAUAUGGUUAUUUUCUCAGGCUCCUAUGUUUAUGUUCAGUUAUUUUACUUUAAUGGGAAAGAAAAGAAACUAUUCAUUGCCAUUAAAGUGAAAUUACUGAACCUACACAUAGGAGCCUGAUACAAAUGCUCAUUUUAGAAGAAAAUUUCAAAUGGCACUUAAAGGCUUUUGCAUCUGAACUCUUCAUGUACCAUUUGUUUUUCUAGAUGACUUUAAUAGCUUCACAGAGCUUUAUCAGCAUGAAGACUUGCAGCUACGUCUUUGAACUUUCACUUCUCUCCUCAUGGUUCCUUGCUGUCCUGGUUGGUUCCUGCUGUCCUCCUAACAUCUCAUCACAUCUGUUUCAUCCUCUUCACCCUCACAUCUCUACAUCCUGACUGACUCCACUUAGGCAGAUCGGCACUCAUCCCCUCUGAUCCAUGUCUCCCAACAUCAAUCCAAGCAUUCCUCAUCUUCUCCUGAGACCUCAGGAAGGGCUGGAUACAUGACAUCAUACUGAUGUCAGGAUUGUAUGACUAUCAGUUGAGGUCAUCUGUAAAUAUUGACAUAUUAGCGCUAUGAAGACAUGUAUUAGAUCAGUAGUUCUCUGCUGGUUUUGUUUCAAGUCCUAGCUUUUACAUUGGACAUUGGUAGAUCUAGUUUAUAUUUGCAUUUAGUGACCCUAUUAGUGACGCAAGAGAAAAAGAGAGAAAAAACAGCUAGAUGUAGCACAGAAUGGAAAAAAUGCAGGUAUCUCAGAAUACAUUUUCAUAAGCUGAACGUCAUAAAAACAGCAUUCAUGACAUCAAACAAUCACAAUGUCCCAAAUUUCCACCUAGUGCAUGUUAAAUGGUUAGUUCACUCAAAAAUAAAAAUUCUGUUAUCAUUUACUCA
This is a long non-coding RNA of Cyprinus carpio (common carp), 1607 nucleotides long. Lineage: Eukaryota; Metazoa; Chordata; Actinopteri; Cypriniformes; Cyprinidae. The record is from Ensembl.